GACGAACGCUGGCGGCGUGCCUAAUACAUGCAAGUAGAACGCUGAAACUUGGUGCUUGCUCUGAGCGGAUGAGUCGCGAACGGGUGAGUAACGCGUAGGUAACCUGCCUGGUAGCGGGGGAUAACUAUUGGAAACGAUAGCUUAUACCGCAUAAGAGUAGAUGUUGCAUGACAUUUGCUUAAAAGGUGCACUUGCACCACUACCAGAUGGAUCUGCGUUGUAUUAGCUAGCUGGUGGGGUAACGGCUCACCAAGGCGACGAUACAUAGCCGGCCUGAGAGGGUGGACGGCCACACGGGGACGGAGACCCGGCCCAGACGCCUACGGGAGGCAGCAGUAGGGAAUCGUCGGCAAUGGACGGAAGGCGGAACGAGCAACGCCGCGUGAGGGAAGAAGGAUGUCGGAUCGUAAAGCUCUGUUGUAUGAGAAGAACGAGGGUGAGAGUGGAAAGUACACACUGUGACGGUAGCUGAACAGAAAGGGACGGCUAACUACGUG
This 497-nucleotide ribosomal RNA is filed under the name uncultured bacterium. RNAcentral's name for it is "partial 16S ribosomal RNA". It matches the Rfam family "Bacterial small subunit ribosomal RNA", at positions 28 to 507 of the family's 1533-position model. The record is from RNAcentral.